CGCCCUCGACCUAUUCUCAAACUUUAAAU
RNAcentral lists this small nuclear RNA (29 nucleotides) under Arabidopsis thaliana (thale cress). Its description in RNAcentral is "snRNA_02388". The record is from RNAcentral. Lineage: Eukaryota; Viridiplantae; Streptophyta; Magnoliopsida; Brassicales; Brassicaceae.